RNAcentral lists this ribosomal RNA (451 nucleotides) under uncultured bacterium. Its description in RNAcentral is "partial 16S ribosomal RNA". It matches the Rfam family "Bacterial small subunit ribosomal RNA", at positions 28 to 507 of the family's 1533-position model. The record is from RNAcentral.
GAUGAAUGCUGGCGGCGUGCCUAACACAUGCAAGUCGAGCGGCAGCGAGGGGUGCUUGCACCCUGUCGGCGAGCGGCGAACGGCUGAGUAACGCGUAGGAAUUUGCCCCAAAGUGAGGAAUAACUGCCCGAAAGGGUAGCUAAUGCCGCAUCUGGUCUUCGGAUUAAAGGAUUUAUCCGCUUUGGGAGAAGCCUGCGUUGGAUUAGGUUGUUGGUAGGGUAAUGGCCUACCAAGCCGACGAUCCAUAGCUGGUCUGAGAGGAUGAUCAGCCAGACUGGAACUGAGACACGAUCCAGACUCCUACGGGAGGCAGCAGUGAGGAAUCUUCCACAAUGGGCGAAAGCCUGAUGGAGCAACGCCGCGUGAAGGAUGAAGGCCUUCGGGUUGUAAACUUCUUUUAUGAGUGAAGAAUAUGACGGUAACUCAUGAAUAAGCACCGGCUAACUACGUG